ACCUAAUUAUCUCCUGAAGGUCCCAGCUCCUAAUGCUAUCACAGUGGUGUGGGAAUCUGCUUCCUCCCACAGGAGAAAGAAACACUGUGAUGUAAACAGGUCCUUUGUUAUGAAGAAAAGUAAAGAGGAGAUCUUAGCUGAUUCACAGAAUGAAUGAGCUGCAGAAGUUGAAGGCCUCUUGAUUCUUUGUAUUCUCUGCCCAGUGGAAAGAAAAUAGUGUUGAAAGUAUUAAGACUUUUCUCAGCAGAAAUGUGGACUCAAAGAGCCCAGGAACUGCUCUUUCCCCAUCUGGAGAGAAGUUUGCUAGAAGCAAACCUGCAGGAAUCAUGGCCUCUGUGGUGCCAGCGACCAGAGAUCCUUCUCAUAAACCAGAACCACGACCUGUCUCCAGGCCAGCGCAAUUGCCCUCCUCAGACAUGCCUCAUGUUCCCACAUCUCCCCGUGGCCUCACACACGGCUCCUCAUCCUCAGACACUGGUCUCUCUCUUCUCCAUCCAUGAACUCUUACUUACCCUUCAAGGCCUAGCACACAUGGCCUUUCCUCAAGACACAUACAUUUCUGGUGUCUCUUCCUCUUCUUUCAGAAACACCAGCCUGAUCAGGCUGUGAGUUGAACUCAGCCUCUGAAUCCAGCUCUGCUGCUCCUCAGAGGUCACCCUGUCUAUUCCUGCUGUGACUGACCACUGGCUUUCACCCCUAUGUGCCGAUUUAUGCUGUUCACCAGAGAGUCAAAAGAGACAAAGUGGCCCAAACAUAAUAAGACAACCCACUCAAAACAUUUUCUGUGCUUCCACCUUACUGACUUUUAUCAUAAAUUAGAGAUUUUGAAGAGAAUGAGUCAUAGAAAAAGAAAAAAAAAACCCCAAUAACCUGGUUUGGCAAUCAGCAUAUUAUAUCUCCCCAGUGACUCAUGAUAUCAGAUACAAGUCAGGACAAACAGAGCUCCUGUCAGAGAGAAGCACGGUUAAAAAUAAAAGCAAAAAAUAGGAAGAGGGGAAAAAUCCUUUUUAACUGUACCUAGAACUCUCCCUGCCCUGCAUUCCCUAAUGAAGGUCUUGGGAGGGCAAAUGAUCUGAAAACUUGAGUCAUAAAUCAGGAGGAAGUGACUCCCAGGAAACAAAGAUGCAUGGA
Odocoileus virginianus texanus is the source of this 1131-nucleotide non-coding RNA. The record is from RefSeq and is a predicted model, not a curated record. NCBI's taxonomy places the organism in Eukaryota, Metazoa, Chordata, Mammalia, Artiodactyla, Cervidae.